RNAcentral lists this ribosomal RNA (628 nucleotides) under uncultured beta proteobacterium. RNAcentral describes it as "bacterial SSU rRNA". It matches the Rfam family "Bacterial small subunit ribosomal RNA", at positions 53 to 673 of the family's 1533-position model. The record is from RNAcentral. Lineage: Bacteria; Pseudomonadati; Pseudomonadota; Betaproteobacteria.
ACAUGCAAGUCGAACNGGCAGCACGGGUGCUUGCACCUGGUGGCGAGUGGCGAACGAGUGAGUAAUACAUCGGAACAUGUCCUGUAGUGGGGGAUAGCCCGGCGAAAGCCGGAUUAAUACCGCAUACGAUCUACGGAUGAAAGCGGGGGACCUUCGGGCCUCGCGCUAUAGGGUUGGCCGAUGGCUGAUUAGCUAGUUGGUGGGGUAAAGGCCUACCAAGGCGACGAUCAGUAGCUGGUCUGAGAGGACGACCAGCCACACUGGGACUGAGACACGGCCCAGACUCCUACGGGAGGCAGCAGUGGGGAAUUUUGGACAAUGGGCGAAAGCCUGAUCCAGCAAUGCCGCGUGUGUGAAGAAGGCCUUCGGGUUGUAAAGCACUUUUGUCCGGAAAGAAAUCCUUGGUUCUAAUAUAGCCGGGGGAUGACGGUACCGGAAGAAUAAGCACCGGCUAACUACGUGCCAGCAGCCGCGGUAAUACGUAGGGUGCGAGCGUUAAUCGGAAUUACUGGGCGUAAAGCGUGCGCAGGCGGUUUGCUAAGACCGAUGUGAAAUCCCCGGGCUCAACCUGGGAACUGCAUUGGUGACUGGCAGGCUAGAGUAUGGCAGAGGGGGGUAGAAUUCCACG